CGCUAGCCGGGAGAUAGGGACGCGAGCGCGAAGAGCACCGCUCGCUGCGGCGGUGUCCGUGAUCCCCACGCGGACCGUGAAAAUCCGGGAGAGGGCCACGCGGAGUCUUCGCGCCGGUUCGUACCGAUAUCCGCAGCAGGUCUCCGAGGUGAGCAGCCUCUAGCCGCAUAGAAUAAUGUAGGUAAGGGAAGUCGACAAAAUCGAUCCGUAACUUCGGG
RNAcentral lists this ribosomal RNA (218 nucleotides) under Thalassionema nitzschioides. Its description in RNAcentral is "partial Eukaryotic large subunit ribosomal RNA". It matches the Rfam family "Eukaryotic large subunit ribosomal RNA", at positions 1728 to 1940 of the family's 3401-position model. Lineage: Eukaryota; Bacillariophyta; Fragilariophyceae; Thalassionematales; Thalassionemataceae. The record is from RNAcentral.